RNAcentral lists this unclassified non-coding RNA (378 nucleotides) under plant metagenome. Its description in RNAcentral is "partial contains 5.8S ribosomal RNA, internal transcribed spacer 2, and large subunit ribosomal RNA". The stretch from base 1 to 105 matches the Rfam family "5.8S ribosomal RNA", at positions 50 to 154 of the family's 154-position model. The record is from RNAcentral.
GAAAUGCGAUAAGUAAUGUGAAUUGCAGAAUUCAGUGAAUCAUCGAAUCUUUGAACGCACCUUGCGCUCCUUGGUAUUCCUUGGAGCAUGCCCGUUUGAGUAUCAUGAAAUCUUCAAAGUAAAUCUUUUGUUAACUCAAUUGGUUUCUACUUUGGUAUUGGAGGUCUUUGCAGCUUCACACCUGCUCCUCUUUGUUCAUUAGCUGGAUCUCAGUGUUAUGCUUGGUUCCACUCGGCGUGAUAAGUUAUCUAUCACUGAGGACACUGUAAAAGGUGGCCAAGGUAAAUGCAGAUGAACCGCUUCUAAUAGUCCAUUGACUUGGACAAUACUUUUAUGAUCUGAUCUCAAAUCAGGUAGGACUACCCGCUGAACUUAAGC